GGCGGCGUGCUUACACAUGCAAGUCGAACGAACCUUCGGGUUAGCGGCGGACGGGUGAGUAACGCGUGAGAAUCUGCCCUCAGGAGGGGGAUAACGGUUGGAAACGACCGCUAAUACCCCAUAUGCCUAUUGGUGAAAUGAAUUUCGCCUGAGGAUGAGCUCGCGUCUGAUUAGCUAGUUGGUGAGGUAAUGGCUCACCAAGGCUUCGAUCAGUAGCUGGUCUGAGAGGAUGAUCAGCCACACUGGGACUGAGACACGGCCCAGACUCCUACGGGAGGCAGCAGUGGGGAAUUUUCCGCAAUGGGCGAAAGCCUGACGGAGCAACGCCGCGUGAGGGACGAAGGCCUCUGGGCUGUAAACCUCUUUUCUCAAGGAAGAAGAUAUGACGGUACUUGAGGAAUAAGCCACGGCUAAUUCCGUGCCAGCAGCCGCGGUAAUACGGGAGUGGCAAGCGUUAUCCGGAAUUAUUGGGCGUAAAGCGUCCGCAGGCGGCCUUUCAAGUCUGCUGUUAAAACGUGGAGCUUAACUCCAUCAUGGCAGUGGAAACUGAAAGGCUUGA
Molecule: ribosomal RNA, 559 nt
Filed under: uncultured bacterium
Lineage: Bacteria
Description: bacterial SSU rRNA
Rfam family: Bacterial small subunit ribosomal RNA
Source: RNAcentral